CCACAGCCACCCAUUUCUCUUUCAAGUGUUCUCCCAAUACAAUGGGGCUUACUGACUUGAUGUUCUUGUAUUUCUCUAAUGUUAGCAAACAUUGCUUGAGCACCUACUGUGGGCUAUGCAUUAAACUACAGGUAAGUAAGUGUUGGUUAAAGGGUGAGUAAGACACUUUUCCUUGUCUUUAGGCGCUCACUGUCAGGCGGAAGGAAGAAGCUGUCAGGUCAUCAGACAACCACAUCUACAAUGUGAUGGUUCUUAGACAGGUGCUCUCAAUAUGUCAGAUGAGGACUCCCUGUCACAUUUGGCUGUCAUCUGUUAGCCACAACUGUCCUGCCCAGAAGAGCUGGCAUUGGCUUUGCAGCCCGAGUCCUGGCUGGCCUUCCUCGCCGCCACUCUAUUAAGGAACCUGAUGACUUGCCAUUGGGUAUCACAUGUACUGCAGGUGCUGUUGAUGAAACUGCUAAAGGAGCUGAAUGUGACUGACGUCUUUGGGAAGGGCGAGACUGGGCGUGCCCACGCAGCUGUGUCAAAUACUGUUCCUAUCUCCCAAUGGAAAGGUAUUGUAAAUAAAGAGAAAGGUCAGUAGCUUAUUUUAAAUCCCAAAUAUGACCUAGGCGCUGCCCUUGGUAGUAUGUAAAAGCUUUAUUUAGUUCUCACACUAAUAUUGUCCUUAUGGCAGAAUUCCAUUUUAUACAGACAGAAGAAUUAUGGCUCAGAGAGGUUAAGAGACUUAUCCAAGGUCACACAGCUAUACCAAUUUUUGUUUAGCUUGAAUCUCAACAUAGGUCUCUAUGCCUUUGAAUUUUGUAUUCUUUGAACUAUUGGAAUAUUUCACAGAAGGAGCAGUGGAAUGCUAACAUGGCAAUACAAUUUCUGGUUCCAGUCCGAUGACCGGUCUUCCAAGAGUGAUAUAAAUAAAUAUAGGACGUAUAGCCUGAGUUUCUGAAGCUUUGUUCCGAAACACGCCACCAACCUGAACAAACUGGUGUGGAAGGCAGCCACAAACAUGCUAAACUCUGGUUCACCGGAGGAAGAUAUGGUUAAAUGUGUUUACAUUACCAGAAAUUUUAAUACGGAAGAAGAAGGAAAGGAUCUGGGAGAAAGAUGAGGAGAAAAUAUGCCUGCAUUUAUGACUUGUUGACAUCUACGGGGUUUUUCCUUAAGCCUCAAAACAAUUCACGGCAUUGCCAGCAGCAUUCAGUACAUUCAGAACAGGAUCGUUUCACCCACAGCUGAAGCAGGCCACGCUUGGGACAGCGCUGAGAGCGGCCUCCCGGCGACACGCCAGAGAGCAAGCCGGGGUCAGCGCGCGAAGAGCAAGGCGGGCGCACUUAAAGACACACUGUUUAUGUGAGUGUGAUCUCACUGCCGCCACUGGAACCGGGUCAGAUCCGAGCUGAGAGAACCAGGGGCCCGGGUAACCCCCGCGAAAUCAGACUCCGGCUUUUCUUUCAGUCUCCUCUGAGAAUAUGGCCCUGUGACAAAAUAAUGACGUUUGGAUUCAUUUCAAUCCGCCGUGUGUUUCCCACUCCCUUUUUGCUUCCUCGUAGUUGAUUAGUAUGGUUUUUUGUUGUUUUUUUUUUUUUUGGUUAAACACACUAAACUAAACAGGAUACGUUAUAUGA
Molecule: long non-coding RNA, 1622 nt
Organism: Microcebus murinus (gray mouse lemur)
Lineage: Eukaryota; Metazoa; Chordata; Mammalia; Primates; Cheirogaleidae
Source: RefSeq, a predicted model, not a curated record